RNAcentral lists this long non-coding RNA (927 nucleotides) under Daphnia pulicaria. RNAcentral's name for it is "uncharacterized LOC124350364, transcript variant X5". The record is from RNAcentral. Lineage: Eukaryota; Metazoa; Arthropoda; Branchiopoda; Diplostraca; Daphniidae.
GCGUUCCGGCCGGAAGACUUCCGGUUCUUUCCAGUACCCGUCAUCCAUGAGAACAGCAUCCAGAUUCAACAUGACAAUACUUCCCUAAUCAUUUUAGAAAUUGCCUUGAAGCUUGGUUUCUUUGACGGCGAAAUGGGGGACAACGAACGGCGCAAUAGUGCUACACCUCUGUGCUUCCAUCAAAACAGCUUCAGUGUAAGAUUUGUCACAUGCAAUUCCACAUAGGUAACGAGGGUUUCGUGCAAGUGUAUGUGUAUGUAUCCUGUUUCGAGAACAGGAAAAAUUACGCAAAAGCCGGACUAGAAGAGUUGGACUUUGGUCCUUGUCACGCGUAAAUGAAAGAAUGAAGCUGCGCAAUCCGAAUAGUUCGCAAUCCGAUUUAAUACGACCUACUGUAUUACGUGUUGGUUUGUAAAUUAAAUUUCUCUCGAGUCGGGGGACCACCACUGCUUUAAUACCACGAAACGAGGGACCACCACUGCUUUAAUACCACGGGCAAACCCAUCACAGGGUGUAAACUCAGAAGUUCUUUUCUGCAGAUUUAAAUCGAAAAUUUUUUAUCAAAGCAGCCGUGAAGAGAAAAAAGUUUCGUGUUCUUGGCGGAAUACUUCCGGUUCUUUCCAGUAGGACUCGGCAUCUAGGAAGACGGCAUCCCGAUUUAACAUGAUAACACAUCCCUUAUUAUUGGAUGAAGUGCCAUGAAGCUUCGUUUCUUUGACGGCGUAAGGGGGCAACAAACGGUGCAGUAAAGUUGUAGGAACGUUGGACUUUCAUCAAAACAGCUUCCACACAAGGUAAGCUAAACUUAUAGGUGUCAAGUUUUGGUACAAUUUUAAGUCAAUAAAAUCACUAGCUUCAACUACUUCAUCCAUGGAGUGAUUUGUGAGUUGAUUAUCAUUGAUAUUAUUCUAUUGACAAUUGUAACUU